AGAGUGAACGCUGGCGGUAGGCCUAACACAUGCAAGUCGAACGGCAGCACAGUGGUAGCAAUACCAUGGGUGGCGAGUGGCGGACGGGUGAGGAAUACAUCGGAAUCUACCUUUUCGUGGGGGAUAACGUAGGGAAACUUACGCUAAUACCGCAUACGCCCUUCGGGGGAAAGCCGGGGAUCGCAAGACCUGGCGCGGAUAGAUGAGCCGAUGUCGGAUUAGCUAGUUGGUGAGGUAAUGGCUCACCAAGGCGACGAUCCGUAGCUGGUCUGAGAGGAUGAUCAGCCACACUGGAACUGAGACCGACGGUCCAGACUCCUACGGGAGCAGCAGUGGGGAAUAGUUGG
Molecule: ribosomal RNA, 347 nt
Filed under: uncultured soil bacterium
Lineage: Bacteria
Description: bacterial SSU rRNA
Rfam family: Bacterial small subunit ribosomal RNA
Source: RNAcentral